AUUGAACGCUGGCGGCAGGCCUAACACAUGCAAGUCGAGCGGAUGAGAGGAGCUUGCUCCUCGAUUCAGCGGCGGACGGGUGAGUAAUGCCUAGGAAUCUGCCUAGUAGUGGGGGACAACGUUUCGAAAGGAACGCUAAUACCGCAUACGUCCUACGGGAGAAAGUGGGGGAUCUUCGGACCUCACGCUAUUAGAUGAGCCUAGGUCGGAUUAGCUAGUUGGUAGGGUAACGGCCUACCAAGGCGACGAUCCGUAACUGGUCUGAGAGGAUGACCAGCCACACUGGAACUGAGACACGGUCCAGACUCCUACGGGAGGCAGCAGUGGGGAAUAUUGCACAAUGGGCGCAAGCCUGAUGCAGCCAUGCCGCGUGUAUGAAGAAGGCCUUCGGGUUGUAAAGUACUUUCAGCGGGGAGGAAGGCGGUGAAGUUAAUAGCUUCACCGAUUGACGUUACCCGCAGAAGAAGCACCGGCUAACUCCGUGCCAGCCGCCGCGGUAA
This 500-nucleotide ribosomal RNA is filed under the name uncultured bacterium. RNAcentral describes it as "partial 16S ribosomal RNA". It matches the Rfam family "Bacterial small subunit ribosomal RNA", at positions 30 to 523 of the family's 1533-position model. The record is from RNAcentral.